Pongo abelii (Sumatran orangutan) is the source of this 108-nucleotide small nuclear RNA. The record is from Ensembl. NCBI's taxonomy places the organism in Eukaryota, Metazoa, Chordata, Mammalia, Primates, Hominidae.
GUGCUUGCUUUAGCAGCACACAUACUAAAAACUGGACCGAUACAGAGAAGAUUAGCAUGGUCUCUGCACAAGGAUGACACGCAAAUUCGUGAAGCAUUCCAUACAAAA